RNAcentral lists this ribosomal RNA (268 nucleotides) under Boophis andohahela. Its description in RNAcentral is "partial 16S ribosomal RNA". It matches the Rfam family "Bacterial large subunit ribosomal RNA", at positions 2268 to 2597 of the family's 2925-position model. The record is from RNAcentral. Lineage: Eukaryota; Metazoa; Chordata; Amphibia; Anura; Mantellidae.
UUUAGGUUGGGGUGACCACGGAGCAUAAAAUAACCUCCACGAAGAAGAGACUAAUAAUCUUUAUCAAAGAAGUACACUUCUAAGAAUUAACAAAUUAAUUUCCAAUGAUCCGAUAUUCGAUCAACGAACCAAGUUACCCUGGGGAUAACAGCGCAAUCCACCUCAAGAGCUCCUAUCGACAGGUGGGUUUACGACCUCGAUGUUGGAUCAGGAUAUCCCAGUGGUGUAGCAGCUACUAAAGGUUCGUUUGUUCAACGAUUAAAAUCCU